RNAcentral lists this transfer RNA (74 nucleotides) under Desmophyllum pertusum. Its description in RNAcentral is "tRNA-Ala". It matches the Rfam family "tRNA". Rfam says of the family: Transfer RNA (tRNA) molecules are approximately 80 nucleotides in length. Their secondary structure includes four short double-helical elements and three loops (D, anti-codon, and T loops). Lineage: Eukaryota; Metazoa; Cnidaria; Anthozoa; Scleractinia; Caryophylliidae. The record is from RNAcentral.
UCCUCCACAGCUCAGUGGUUAGAGCGUCCAACCGGCACCUGGAAGGUCAUGGGUUCGAUUCCCGUUGGGGAGAU